CCUGCGGAGGGAUCAUUACCGAGUUUACAACUCCCAAACCCCUGUGAACAUACCAAUUGUUGCCUCGGCGGAUCAGCCCGCUCCCGGUAAAACGGGACGGCCCGCCAGAGGACCCUUAAACUCUGUUUCUAUAUGUAACUUCUGAGUAAAACCAUAAAUAAAUCAAAACUUUCAACAACGGAUCUCUUGGUUCUGGCAUCGAUGAAGAACGCAGCAAAAUGCGAUAAGUAAUGUGAAUUGCAGAAUUCAGUGAAUCAUCGAAUCUUUGAACGCACAUUGCGCCCGCCAGUAUUCUGGCGGGCAUGCCUGUUCGAGCGUCAUUUCAACCCUCAAGCCCAGCUUGGUGUUGGGACUCGCGAGUUAAACCGCGUUCCCCAAAUUGAUUGGCGGUCACGUCGAGCUUCCAUAGCGUAGUAGUAAAACCCUCGUUACUGGUAAUCGUCGCGGCCACGCCGUUAAACCCCAACUUCUGAAUGUUGACCUCGGAUCAGGUAGGAAUACCCGCUGAACUUAAGCAUAUCA
Molecule: ribosomal RNA, 522 nt
Filed under: fungal sp. BLH 75
Lineage: Eukaryota; Fungi
Description: eukaryotic LSU rRNA
Rfam family: 5.8S ribosomal RNA (bases 167-320)
Source: RNAcentral